UACGUAGGGGGCUAGCGUUAUCCGGAUUUACUGGGCGUAAAGGGUGCGUAGGUGGUUUCUUAAGUCAGGAGUGAAAGGCUACGGCUUAACCGUAGUAAGCUCUUGAAACUGGGAAACUUGAGUGCAGGAGAGGAAAGUGGAAUUCCUAGUGUAGCGGUGAAAUGCGUAGAUAUUAGGAGGAACACCAGUAGCGAAGGCGGCUUUCUGGACUGUAACUGACACUGAGGCGCGAAAGCGUGGGGAGCAAACAGGAUUAGAUACUCCGGUAGUCCCUGAGCGGGCU
RNAcentral lists this ribosomal RNA (283 nucleotides) under uncultured prokaryote. RNAcentral describes it as "partial 16S ribosomal RNA". It matches the Rfam family "Bacterial small subunit ribosomal RNA", at positions 524 to 817 of the family's 1533-position model. The record is from RNAcentral.